Molecule: ribosomal RNA, 478 nt
Filed under: uncultured bacterium
Lineage: Bacteria
Description: partial 16S ribosomal RNA
Rfam family: Bacterial small subunit ribosomal RNA
Source: RNAcentral
GACGAACGCUGGCGGCGUGCUUAACACAUGCAAGUCGAACGGUAAGGCCCUUCGGGGUACACGAGUGGCGAACGGGUGAGUAACACGUGGGUGAUCUGCCCUGCGCUUCGGGAUAAGCCUGGGAAACUGGGUCUAAUACCGGAUAGGACCACUGCCUGCAUGGGUGGUGGUGGAAGGCUUUUGCGGUGUGGGAUGGGCCCGCGGCCUAUCAGCUUGUUGGUGGGGUGAUGGCCUAUCAAGGCGACGACGGGUAGCCGGCCUGACAGGGUCACCGGACGCACUGGGACUGAGGUGCGGCCCAGACUCCUUCGGGAGGCAGCGGUGGGGAAUAUUGCAGAAUGGGCGCGAGCCUGAUGCAGCGACGCCGCGUGGGGGAUGACGGCCGUCGGGUUGUAAACCUCUUUCAGAACCGACGAAGCGCAAGUGACGGUAGGUGCAGAAGAAGGACCGGCCAACUACGUGCCAGCCGCCGCAGUAA